This 501-nucleotide ribosomal RNA is filed under the name uncultured bacterium. RNAcentral describes it as "partial 16S ribosomal RNA". It matches the Rfam family "Bacterial small subunit ribosomal RNA", at positions 30 to 523 of the family's 1533-position model. The record is from RNAcentral.
AUUGAACGCUGGCGGCAGGCUUAACACAUGCAAGUCGAGCGGGCGAGGUUGCUUCGGUAACUGAGCUAGCGGCGGACGGGUGAGUAAUGCUUAGGAAUUUGCCUAUUAGUGGGGGACAACAUUCCGAAAGGGAUGCUAAUACCGCAUACGUCCUACGGGAGAAAGCAGGGGAUCAUUUGAACUUGCGCUAAUAGAUGAGCCUAAGUCGGAUUAGCUAGUUGGUGGGGUAAAGGCCUACCAAGGCGACGAUCUGUAGCGGGUCUGAGAGGAUGAUCCGCCACACUGGGACUGAGACACGGCCCAGACUCCUACGGGAGGCAGCAGUGGGGAAUAUUGGACAAUGGGGGGAACCCUGAUCCAGCCAUGCCGCGUGUGUGAAGAAGGCCUUUUGGUUGUAAAGCACUUUAAGUGGGGAGGAGGCUUACCUGGUUAAUACCUGGGCUAAGUGGACAUUACCCACAGAAUAAGCACCGGCUAACUCUGUGCCAGCAGCCGCGGUAA